Molecule: ribosomal RNA, 465 nt
Filed under: uncultured bacterium
Lineage: Bacteria
Description: partial 16S ribosomal RNA
Rfam family: Bacterial small subunit ribosomal RNA
Source: RNAcentral
GACGAACGUUGGCGGCGUGCUUAACACAUGCAAGUCGUACGGUAAGGCCCUUUCGGGGGUACACGCGUGGCGCACGGGUGAGUAACACGUGAGUAACCUGCCCACAACUCUGGGAUAGCGCUAGGAAACUGGUGCUAAUACUGGAUAUGUGCUCCUGCUGCAUGGUGGGGGUUGGAAAGCUCCGGCGGUUGUGGAUGGACUCGCGGCCUAUCAGCUUGUUGGUGGGGUAGUGGCCUACCAAGGCGGCGACGGGUAGCCGGCCUGAGAGGGUGACCGGCCACAUUGGGACUGAGAUACGGCCCAGACUCCUACGGGAGGCAGCAGUGGGGAAUAUUGCACAAUGGGCGCAAGCCUGAUGCAGCAACGCCGCGUGCGGGAGGACGGCCUUCGGGUUGUAAACCGCUUUCAGCAGGGACGAAGCUUUGUGUGACGGUACCUGCAGAAGAAGCACCGGCUAACUACGUG